AGGAAUGACGGGCGAUUUGUGCUAUUUUUAACUUUCUUUAAUUUUUUUAAUAAAAAUUUUUAAUUGCAGGUUCUUCUUCAAAAUUCUUUUUUACUAAAAGUGUCUCUUUAAAUCUUUUUUAUAUAUCUUGAUUUUUUUUAAAAAACUUAUUUUAAAAAUAUUUUAUUUUUCACAAUGAUGUAGGAGGAAAAAAAAAGUUCGUUUAAGUGUUGGGUAUCUAUUAAUUAAUAAGACCCCCUGCUUGAUAAAAUACCGCCAUUUAAAUUAGUUUUCUAAAUUUAAGUACUGUCUUAUUUUUUU
This 300-nucleotide ribosomal RNA is filed under the name cf. Spinaetergum gen. n. sp. KK14. RNAcentral's name for it is "partial small subunit ribosomal RNA". The record is from RNAcentral. Lineage: Eukaryota; Metazoa; Arthropoda; Arachnida; Trombidiformes; Eriophyidae.